RNAcentral lists this ribosomal RNA (1761 nucleotides) under Salmonella enterica subsp. enterica serovar Schwarzengrund. RNAcentral's name for it is "partial 23S ribosomal RNA". It matches the Rfam family "Bacterial large subunit ribosomal RNA", at positions 1200 to 2925 of the family's 2925-position model. The record is from RNAcentral. Lineage: Bacteria; Pseudomonadati; Pseudomonadota; Gammaproteobacteria; Enterobacterales; Enterobacteriaceae.
CUGCGGCAGCGACGCUGAUGCGUUGUUGGGUAGGGGAGCGUUCUGUAAGCCUGCGAAGGUGGCCUGUGAGGGUUGCUGGAGGUAUCAGAAGUGCGAAUGCUGACAUAAGUAACGAUAAAGCGGGUGAAAAGCCCGCUCGCCGGAAGACCAAGGGUUCCUGUCCAACGUUAAUCGGGGCAGGGUGAGUCGACCCCUAAGGCGAGGCCGAAAGGCGUAGUCGAUGGGAAACGGGUUAAUAUUCCCGUACUUGGUGUUACUGCGAAGGGGGGACGGAGAAGGCUAUGUUGGCCGGGCGACGGUUGUCCCGGUUUAAGCGUGUAGGUGUGUGUUCCAGGUAAAUCCGGUUCACUUUAACACUGAGGCGUGAUGACGAGGCACUACGGUGCUGAAGCAACAAAUGCCCUGCUUCCAGGAAAAGCCUCUAAGCAUCAGGUAACAUCAAAUCGUACCCCAAACCGACACAGGUGGUCAGGUAGAGAAUACCAAGGCGCUUGAGAGAACUCGGGUGAAGGAACUAGGCAAAAUGGUGCCGUAACUUCGGGAGAAGGCACGCUGACACGUAGGUGAAGUGAUUUACUCAUGGAGCUGAAGUCAGUCGAAGAUACCAGCUGGCUGCAACUGUUUAUUAAAAACACAGCACUGUGCAAACACGAAAGUGGACGUAUACGGUGUGACGCCUGCCCGGUGCCGGAAGGUUAAUUGAUGGGGUCAGCGCAAGCGAAGCUCCUGAUCGAAGCCCCGGUAAACGGCGGCCGUAACUAUAACGGUCCUAAGGUAGCGAAAUUCCUUGUCGGGUAAGUUCCGACCUGCACGAAUGGCGUAAUGAUGGCCAGGCUGUCUCCACCCGAGACUCAGUGAAAUUGAACUCGCUGUGAAGAUGCAGUGUACCCGCGGCAAGACGGAAAGACCCCGUGAACCUUUACUAUAGCUUGACACUGAACAUUGAGCCUUGAUGUGUAGGAUAGGUGGGAGGCUUUGAAGUGUGGACGCCAGUCUGCAUGGAGCCGGCCUUGAAAUACCACCCUUUAAUGUUUGAUGUUCUAACGUGGACCCGUGAUCCGGGUUGCGGACAGUGUCUGGUGGGUAGUUUGACUGGGGCGGUCUCCUCCUAAAGAGUAACGGAGGAGCACGAAGGUUGGCUAAUCCUGGUCGGACAUCAGGAGGUUAGUGCAAUGGCAUAAGCCAGCUUGACUGCGAGCGUGACGGCGCGAGCAGGUGCGAAAGCAGGUCAUAGUGAUCCGGUGGUUCUGAAUGGAAGGGCCAUCGCUCAACGGAUAAAAGGUACUCCGGGGAUAACAGGCUGAUACCGCCCAAGAGUUCAUAUCGACGGCGGUGUUUGGCACCUCGAUGUCGGCUCAUCACAUCCUGGGGCUGAAGUAGGUCCCAAGGGUAUGGCUGUUCGCCAUUUAAAGUGGUACGCGAGCUGGGUUUAGAACGUCGUGAGACAGUUCGGUCCCUAUCUGCCGUGGGCGCUGGAGAACUGAGGGGGGCUGCUCCUAGUACGAGAGGACCGGAGUGGACGCAUCACUGGUGUUCGGGUUGUCAUGCCAAUGGCACUGCCCGGUAGCUAAAUGCGGAAGAGAUAAGUGCUGAAAGCAUCUAAGCACGAAACUUGCCCCGAGAUGAGUUCUCCCUGAGACUUUAAGUCUCCUGAAGGAACGUUGAAGACGACGACGUUGAUAGGCCGGGUGUGUAAGCGCAGCGAUGCGUUGAGCUAACCGGUACUAAUGAACCGUGAGGCUUAACCUUACAACGCCGAAG